UUAAUUACUAAUUAUGUAUUCUU
RNAcentral lists this small nuclear RNA (23 nucleotides) under Arabidopsis thaliana (thale cress). RNAcentral describes it as "snRNA_18359". The record is from RNAcentral. Lineage: Eukaryota; Viridiplantae; Streptophyta; Magnoliopsida; Brassicales; Brassicaceae.